This 532-nucleotide ribosomal RNA is filed under the name Arthroderma uncinatum. RNAcentral describes it as "eukaryotic LSU rRNA". It matches the Rfam family "Eukaryotic large subunit ribosomal RNA", at positions 81 to 626 of the family's 3401-position model. Lineage: Eukaryota; Fungi; Ascomycota; Eurotiomycetes; Onygenales; Arthrodermataceae. The record is from RNAcentral.
CAGUAACGGCGAGUGAAGCGGCAAAAGCUCAAAUUUGAAAUCUGGCUCCUUCGGGGUCCGAAGUUGUAAUUUGUAGAGGAUGCUUCGGGUGUGGCCACGACUUAAGUUCCUUGGAACAGGACGUCAUAGAGGGUGAGAAUCCCGUCUUGGGCCGUUGGUCCACGCCCGUGUGAAGCUCCUUCGACGAGUCGAGUUGUUUGGGAAUGCAGCUCUAAGCGGGUGGUAAAUUUCAUCUAAAGCUAAAUAUUGGCCGGAGACCGAUAGCGCACAAGUAGAGUGAUCGAAAGGUUAAAAGCACCUUGAAAAGGGAGUUAAACAGCACGUGAAAUUGUUGAAAGGGAAGCGCUUGCGGCCAGACUCGAGCGCAGGGUUCAGCGGGUGCGUGUCACCCGUGCACUCCCUGUCGCCCGGGCCAGCAUCAGUUCUAACGGCCGGUCAAAGGCCCCCGGAAUGUGUCGUCUCUCGGGACGUCUUAUAGCCGGGGGUGCAAUGCGGCCCGUCGGGACUGAGGAACGCGCUUCGGCUCGGAUGC